GCCGGCGUCGACCAGCGGAAGGUCAUUCUCGCAAUGUGGCACAUGUCCCAGGUCAUCCGAGAGAGCCGGGGGUUCGACUCCCCUCGCCGGCA
This is a non-coding RNA of Mycena latifolia, 92 nucleotides long. Lineage: Eukaryota; Fungi; Basidiomycota; Agaricomycetes; Agaricales; Mycenaceae. The record is from the annotation of a GenBank genome assembly.